This 510-nucleotide ribosomal RNA is filed under the name uncultured bacterium. Its description in RNAcentral is "partial 16S rRNA". The record is from RNAcentral.
GCACGGAGUUAGCCGGGGCUUCCUCUGGUGGUACCGUCAGCGAAGGCGAGUUGUUCACUCCCUCCGGAUUCGUCCCACCUGACAGGGCUUUACACUCCAAAGAGCUUCGUCGCCCACGCGGCGUCGCUGCGUCAGACUUUCGUCCAUUGCGCAAAAUUCCUCACUGCUGCCUCCCGUAGGAGUCUGGACCGUGUUUCAGUUCCAGUGUGGCCGGACAGCCUCUCAGCCCGGCUACCCAUCGUCGCCUUGGUAGGCUUUUACCCUACCAACUAGCUAAUGGGACGCGAGCCCAUCUCCCUGCGCAAGCUUUCAUGAAGAGGCCUGCUUUGGUCUCCAAUCCCUGCAGACGGAGACUUCAUUCUGGUAUUAGCGCCAGUUUCCCGACGUUAUCCCGAACAGCGGAGGUAGGUUACUCACGCGUUACUCACCCGUGCGCCACUUUACUCCCUCAUCCGAAGACAAGGUUUCUCGUUCGACUUGCAUGUGUUAGGCACGCCGCCAGCGUUCGUU